RNAcentral lists this ribosomal RNA (2914 nucleotides) under Klebsiella pneumoniae. Its description in RNAcentral is "23S ribosomal RNA". It matches the Rfam family "Bacterial large subunit ribosomal RNA". Lineage: Bacteria; Pseudomonadati; Pseudomonadota; Gammaproteobacteria; Enterobacterales; Enterobacteriaceae. The record is from RNAcentral.
GGGUUGUGAGGUUAAGCGACUAAGCGUACACGGUGGAUGCCACGGCAGUCAGAGGCGAUGAAGGACGUGCUAAUCUGCGAAAAGCGUCGGUAAGGUGAUAUGAACCGUUAUAACCGGCGAUGUCCGAAUGGGGAAACCCAGUGCAAUUCGUUGCACUAUCGUUAACUGAAUACAUAGGUUAACGAGGCGAACCGGGGGAACUGAAACAUCUAAGUACCCCGAGGAAAAGAAAUCAACCGAGAUUCCCCCAGUAGCGGCGAGCGAACGGGGAGCAGCCCAGAGUCUGAAUCAGCUUGUGUGUUAGUGGAACGGUCUGGAAAGUCCGACGGUACAGGGUGAUAGUCCCGUACACCAAAAUGCACAGGUUGUGAACUCGAAGAGUAGGGCGGGACACGUGGUAUCCUGUCUGAAUAUGGGGACCAUCCUCCAAGGCUAAAUACUCCUGACUGACCGAUAGUGAACCAGUACCGUGAGGGAAAGGCGAAAAGAACCCCGGCGAGGGAGUGAAAAGAACCUGAAACCGUGUACGUACAAGCAGUGGGAGCACCUUCGGGUGUGACUGCGUACCUUUUGUAUAAUGGGUCAGCGACUUAUAUUCUGUAGCAAGGUUAACCGUAUAGGGGAGCCGCAGGGAAACCGAGUCUUAACUGGGCGUUAAGUUGCAGGGUAUAGACCCGAAACCCGGUGAUCUAGCCAUGGGCAGGUUGAAGGUUGGGUAACACUAACUGGAGGACCGAACCGACUAAUGUUGAAAAAUUAGCGGAUGACUUGUGGCUGGGGUGAAAGGCCAAUCAAACCGGGAGAUAGCUGGUUCUCCCGAAAGCUAUUUAGGUAGCGCCUCGUGAAUUCAUCUUCGGGGGUAGAGCACUGUUUCGGCUAGGGGGUCAUCCCGACUUACCAACCCGAUGCAAACUACGAAUACCGAAGAAUGUUAUCACGGGAGACACACGGCGGGUGCUAACGUCCGUCGUGAAGAGGGAAACAACCCAGACCGCCAGCUAAGGUCCCAAAGUCAUGGUUAAGUGGGAAACGAUGUGGGAAGGCACAGACAGCCAGGAUGUUGGCUUAGAAGCAGCCAUCAUUUAAAGAAAGCGUAAUAGCUCACUGGUCGAGUCGGCCUGCGCGGAAGAUGUAACGGGGCUAAACCAUGCACCGAAGCUGCGGCAGCGACACUAUGUGUUGUUGGGUAGGGGAGCGUUCUGUAAGCCUGCGAAGGUGUGCUGUGAGGCAUGCUGGAGGUAUCAGAAGUGCGAAUGCUGACAUAAGUAACGAUAAAGCGGGUGAAAAGCCCGCUCGCCGGAAGACCAAGGGUUCCUGUCCAACGUUAAUCGGGGCAGGGUGAGUCGACCCCUAAGGCGAGGCCGAAAGGCGUAGUCGAUGGGAAACAGGUUAAUAUUCCUGUACUUGGUGUUACUGCGAAGGGGGGACGGAGAAGGCUAUGUUAGCCGGGCGACGGUUGUCCCGGUUUAAGCAUGUAGGCUGGUUGUCCAGGCAAAUCCGGAUAAUCAAGGCUGAGGUGUGAUGACGAGGCACUACGGUGCUGAAGUAACAAAUGCCCUGCUUCCAGGAAAAGCCUCUAAGCAUCAGGUAACAUCAAAUCGUACCCCAAACCGACACAGGUGGUCAGGUAGAGAAUACCAAGGCGCUUGAGAGAACUCGGGUGAAGGAACUAGGCAAAAUGGUGCCGUAACUUCGGGAGAAGGCACGCUGGUGUGUAGGUGAAGUCCCUGCGGAUGGAGCUGAGACCAGUCGAAGAUACCAGCUGGCUGCAACUGUUUAUUAAAAACACAGCACUGUGCAAACACGAAAGUGGACGUAUACGGUGUGACGCCUGCCCGGUGCCGGAAGGUUAAUUGAUGGGGUUAUCCGUAAGGAGAAGCUCUUGAUCGAAGCCCCGGUAAACGGCGGCCGUAACUAUAACGGUCCUAAGGUAGCGAAAUUCCUUGUCGGGUAAGUUCCGACCUGCACGAAUGGCGUAAUGAUGGCGGGCUGUCUCCACCGAGACUCAGUGAAAUUGAACUCGCUGUGAAGAUGCAGUGUACCCGCGGCAAGACGGAAAGACCCGUGAACCUUUACUAUAGCUUGACACUGAACAUUGAGCCUUGAUGUGUAGGAUAGGUGGGAGGCUUUGAAGCGUGGACGCCAGUCUGCGUGGAGCCAACCUUGAAAUACCACCCUUUAAUGUUUGAUGUUCUAACGUUGGCCCCUGACCGGGGUUACGGACAGUGUCUGGUGGGUAGUUUGACUGGGGCGGUCUCCUCCCAAAGCGUAACGGAGGAGCACGAAGGUUAGCUAAUCCUGGUCGGACAUCAGGAGGUUAGUGCAAUGGCAUAAGCUAGCUUGACUGCGAGCGUGACGGCGCGAGCAGGUGCGAAAGCAGGUCAUAGUGAUCCGGUGGUUCUGAAUGGAAGGGCCAUCGCUCAACGGAUAAAAGGUACUCCGGGGAUAACAGGCUGAUACCGCCCAAGAGUUCAUAUCGACGGCGGUGUUUGGCACCUCGAUGUCGGCUCAUCACAUCCUGGGGCUGAAGUAGGUCCCAAGGGUAUGGCUGUUCGCCAUUUAAAGUGGUACGCGAGCUGGGUUUAGAACGUCGUGAGACAGUUCGGUCCCUAUCUGCCGUGGGCGCUGGAGAAUUGAGGGGGGCUGCUCCUAGUACGAGAGGACCGGAGUGGACGCAUCACUGGUGUUCGGGUUGUCAUGCCAAUGGCACUGCCCGGUAGCUAAAUGCGGAAGAGAUAAGUGCUGAAAGCAUCUAAGCACGAAACUUGCCCCGAGAUGAGUUCUCCCUGAGACUUUAAGUCUCCUGAAGGAACGUUAAAGACGAUGACGUUGAUAGGCCGGGUGUGUAAGCGCAGCGAUGCGUUGAGCUAACCGGUACUAAUGAACCGUGAGGCUUAACCUUACAACGCCGAAG